Molecule: ribosomal RNA, 346 nt
Filed under: Etia nguti
Lineage: Eukaryota; Metazoa; Chordata; Actinopteri; Cichliformes; Cichlidae
Description: partial 12S ribosomal RNA
Rfam family: Bacterial small subunit ribosomal RNA
Source: RNAcentral
UUUGAUAGCCCGCUACGUCCGCUAUCCGCCCGGGUACUACGAGCACUAGCUUAAAACCCAAAGGACUUGGCGGUGCUUUAGAUCCACCUAGAGGAGCCUGUUCUAGAACCGAUAACCCCCGUUAAACCUCACCCUCUCUUGUUUUUCCCGCCUAUAUACCGCCGUCGUCAGCCUACCCUGUGAAGGAAUUACAGUAAGCAAAACCAGUACAACUCAAAACGCCAGGUCGAGGUGUAGCAUAUGAGAGGGGAAGAAAUGGGCUACAUUCCCUGCUGCAGGGAAUACGAACAAUGUAAUGAAACGCAGCAUUAGAAGGAGGAUUUAGCAGUAAGCAGAAAAUAGAGCG